AGCAUGUCUAGGUGACGUCCUGCCCCAGGCAGUCGCUCCAGUGUGAUGAGACGGGGCGACCCAUCCCUCACACAACCCGGAUGGUGUUGCACCGCCUCUGAUGGACUCCCGGCAAUAACCAGUGUGACAAAGGCUUCCUAUGCCAAUAAAGUCCUUCAAAUUGAAGAGAAACAGGUGAGAGAGAAAGAGUGCAGCAGAGAGAGAGAGAGAGAGAGAGAGAAUCGGCAGCAUCGGAUGGUAAAGCGAUACCUGUGGCCCUGAGACGAGACGUCGCCACGGCAACCCCUAGUCAGUCCAUCAGUGCCACCUCCAGGUUGAAGAGUCUCACUACACACAUUAAGGGCAAAAGGCCCACCACCUCCCCACCACGACCACCAGAUGAAAGGCCGUCGCCUGAACCCUUUUGUCACACUGGACUACCUGCACCACAACAUCUGGCUCCAGAGACCAA
Long non-coding RNA from Esox lucius (northern pike), 451 nucleotides. RefSeq lists it as uncharacterized. The record is from RefSeq and is a predicted model, not a curated record. Lineage: Eukaryota; Metazoa; Chordata; Actinopteri; Esociformes; Esocidae. The transcript has 3 exons.